Molecule: ribosomal RNA, 78 nt
Filed under: Agreia sp. VKM Ac-1783
Lineage: Bacteria; Bacillati; Actinomycetota; Actinomycetes; Micrococcales; Microbacteriaceae
Source: RNAcentral
CCGAACCCGGAAGCUAAGACUCUCUGCGCCGAUGGUACUGCAAGGGGGACCUUGUGGGAGAGUAGGACACCGCCGGAC